CACUUAUUUGAGAAGCAAUGGUCUUAUUUCCAAAUGAAAUGUGGUAGGGUUUACUGUAUUUUUUUUAGAAAAGGUGAUGAUCUAUAUUAUACUUACAUCAGAAAACUUGUUUUCAAGUUUUUUUUUGAAUUUCAAGUUUUCUUUGCAUAGUCAAAGCUGUAACACUGUAAGUUUGCCCUUUUUGAAAUGGCAAAAAAAGCCACCAUGGCAAUCACGUAAAGUUCCAGCUUUGCCUUCUAUCAAUUUCUUAUACGAAUAAUGACAAUUUUUUGCUCUGUUUCCUCAGUGAGGUUUUUUUUGUUUGGUUGGUUGGUUGUUGUUUUUGUUUGUUUGUUUGUUUGUUUUAGUCCACUAGCAGACUAGCAUAUUCUUUCUUUUGUUGUACAGGGGGAGCAUUUCUCCAGUAGCAAACAGGAGUUCCUGUUGUAGAUGCUGUCAAAUCAAAAUUAUGUCUCCUCCUAUGAAGAGCCUAAAGUGAGCCAGUAGUCAAGGAUAUACAGUUUGGAUGCCAGGACAGAAGCAGAAGUGUUAUCCUAAAAGACGAGACAUAAGAAUUCAUUAAAAACUGAAAUCAUGGAAUUCCUAGUAUCACCAAAUGAAGACAUACUGAAUGAAUUGUGUCACUACUGUAAUAAUAAGACAUCACUCUGUUAUUGCAUUUUUUAUGUCAUUUUAGACUAUGCGUACUACCCAUGGACCAGCAGGGCAGACACUUCUUCCCGAGAGGACAGGGCAUCCCAAGGUGCUAUCUUAACUUGUAACUGGAGAGAGAACAAUGCUGAGAGCUCAGCUACUGGGAAGGAGAAGAAAGACACUUUGUUUCAGAAGCAGCUUCUGAUGUGCACAGAAGACCCAGAAAAAAUGGAUAUAAAGAUGCUGAAUUAA
RNAcentral lists this long non-coding RNA (885 nucleotides) under Anas platyrhynchos platyrhynchos (common mallard). RNAcentral's name for it is "lncRNA (ENSAPLG00000029827.1)". The record is from RNAcentral. Lineage: Eukaryota; Metazoa; Chordata; Aves; Anseriformes; Anatidae.